Molecule: long non-coding RNA, 298 nt
Organism: Misgurnus anguillicaudatus (oriental weatherfish)
Lineage: Eukaryota; Metazoa; Chordata; Actinopteri; Cypriniformes; Cobitidae
Source: RefSeq, a predicted model, not a curated record
GGGGGAGCUCUCGCAUAGGUCUGCUUAGUAGUAGUAGCGCUUAUAUAUACACAAGUUAAUGCAGAGAGCAGAUAACAGUGAUUCGAGAUGCUCCGGGAGAAAUUAAUCUAUCUUGUUUAAUAUUCUUUGCAGACUACUAUUAGGCUGAAUCAAAACCUGCCAGACUAAAGUUGAUUUUGCGUGAGAAAGAUGUUGAAAACUCUGAAUCAUCUUGACAUUCUUCAAUGAGUAAUUGUUCCAUUUUUACGCAAAUAGUGUACACUAUGAAUGCUGUGAAUAAACAUAUAUUUAAAUAUAA